UACAGAGGUCCCAAGCGUUGUUCGGAUUCACUGGGCGUAAAGGGUGCGUAGGCGGUCGGGUAAGUCUGAUGUGAAAUCUCACAGCUUAACUGUGAAACUGCAUUGGAUACUAUCCGGCUCGAGGAAUGGAGGGGAGACUGGAAUACUUGGUGUAGCAGUGAAAUGCGUAGAUAUCAAGUGGAACACCAGUGGCGAAGGCGGCUCUCUAGUACGGUACUGACGCUGAGACGCGAAAGCGUGGGGAGCAAACAGG
RNAcentral lists this ribosomal RNA (253 nucleotides) under uncultured bacterium. RNAcentral describes it as "partial 16S ribosomal RNA". It matches the Rfam family "Bacterial small subunit ribosomal RNA", at positions 524 to 776 of the family's 1533-position model. The record is from RNAcentral.